GGUUGUGUGGCCGAGCGGUCUAAGGCGCCUGAUUCAAGAUAUGAAAAUUUCUUAACCAGUUAAAACUGGGAAUCCUCAGGUAUCGUAAGAUGCAAGAGUUCGAAUCUCUUCGCAACCA
RNAcentral lists this transfer RNA (118 nucleotides) under Kluyveromyces marxianus. RNAcentral's name for it is "tRNA-Leu". It matches the Rfam family "tRNA". From Rfam's summary of the family: Transfer RNA (tRNA) molecules are approximately 80 nucleotides in length. Their secondary structure includes four short double-helical elements and three loops (D, anti-codon, and T loops). The record is from RNAcentral. Lineage: Eukaryota; Fungi; Ascomycota; Saccharomycetes; Saccharomycetales; Saccharomycetaceae.